Molecule: ribosomal RNA, 260 nt
Filed under: uncultured prokaryote
Description: partial 16S ribosomal RNA
Rfam family: Bacterial small subunit ribosomal RNA
Source: RNAcentral
UACGUAGGGGACGAGCGUUGUCCGGAAUUACUGGGCGUAAAGGGCGCGCAGGCUGUAGAUCAAGUCAGCUGUGAAAUGUCUGGGCUUAACCCGGGCAUGCGGUUGAAACUGAUGUACUGGAGUGUUGUAGAGGCAAGUGGAAUUCCCAGUGUAGCGGUGAAAUGCGUAGAUAUUGGGAAGAACACCGGUGGCGAAGGCGACUUGCUGGGCAGCAACUGACGCUGAGGCGCGAAAGCCAGGGGAGCAAACGGGAUUAGAUA